This is a long non-coding RNA of Lolium rigidum, 287 nucleotides long. RefSeq lists it as uncharacterized. The record is from RefSeq and is a predicted model, not a curated record. Lineage: Eukaryota; Viridiplantae; Streptophyta; Magnoliopsida; Poales; Poaceae. The transcript has 3 exons.
UUGCAUUGCUAUCUAGACGUAAGUGAGAUGGUAUCUUGGAAUCCAGAUAUUUUAGAGAAGGAAAACACUUUGGCUGAGCCAACUUAUGAAUUAUGUUGCCCUAUGUCAAGCUAAGCAGAUGUCAUUGGUAUGGUGACUGGUAUUUUGCCUAUUGUCAACAUUGGUGCUAAAGGUCGUCCAGUGCCAAAGAGAACUUGAUGACUCAGUGAUAGAAGGUUCACAUUGCUUUCCUCUAUGCUGUUCACGAUGUGCAAGAUGUGUUGCCGGCGGCGAGGCGAAGCUCGCAU